This 253-nucleotide ribosomal RNA is filed under the name uncultured bacterium. Its description in RNAcentral is "partial 16S ribosomal RNA". It matches the Rfam family "Bacterial small subunit ribosomal RNA", at positions 524 to 776 of the family's 1533-position model. The record is from RNAcentral.
UACGUAGGGGGCAAGCGUUGUCCGGAUUUAUUGGGCGUAAAGAGCGUGUAGGCGGCCAUACAGGUCAGCUGUGAAAACUCGAGGCUCAACCUCGAGACGUCGGUUGAAACCGUAUGGCUAGAGUCCGGAAGAGGAGAGUGGAAUUCCCGGUGUAGCGGUGAAAUGCGCAGAUAUCAGGAGGAACACCGGUGGCGAAGGCGGGUCUCUGGGCCGAUACUGGCGCUGAGGAGCGAAAGCGUGGGGAGCGAACAGG